UCCCUGGUGGUUCAGUGGUUAGAAUGCUCUGCUUCUACUGCAGAGGGCCUGGGUUCAAUACCUAGUCGGGGAA
This 73-nucleotide transfer RNA is filed under the name Bos taurus (domestic cattle). It matches the Rfam family "tRNA". Rfam says of the family: Transfer RNA (tRNA) molecules are approximately 80 nucleotides in length. Their secondary structure includes four short double-helical elements and three loops (D, anti-codon, and T loops). RNAcentral also lists the same sequence under 4 other names. The record is from Rfam by way of RNAcentral. Lineage: Eukaryota; Metazoa; Chordata; Mammalia; Artiodactyla; Bovidae.